CUUGCGGGGUGCCUACCAUGCAAGUCGAACGUGAUCCGCCCUUCGGGGUGGUGAAAGUGGCGCACGGGUGAGUAACGCGUGGAUAAUCUGCCCGAGGAUUUGGGAUAACAUCUCGAAAGGGGUGCUAAUACCGAAUAAGCCCACGGGGUCUACGGAUCUUGCGGGAAAAGGGGGGGACCUUCGGGUCUCCUGUCCUUGGAUGAGUCUGCGUACCAUUAGCUAGUUGGUGGGGUAAUGGCCUACCAAGGCGACGAUGGUUAGCUGGUCUGAGAGGAUGAUCAGCCACACUGGAACUGAGACACGGUCCAGACUCCUACGGGAGGCAGCAGUGGGGAAUUUUGCGCAAUGGGGGAAACCCUGACGCAGCAACGCCGCGUGGGUGAUGAAGGCCUUCGGGUCGUAAAGCUCUGUCUGGAGGGAAGAAAUGAUUGGGAGCUAAUACCUCUUGAUCUUGACGGUACCUCUGAAGGAAGCACCGGCUAACUCCGUGCCAGCAGCCGCGGUAAUACGGAGGGUGCAAGCGUUGUUCGGAAUUAUUGGGCGUAAAGCGCGUGUAGGCGGUCUUUUAAGUCUGAUGUGAAAGCCCCGGGCUCAACCUGGGAAGUGCAUUGGAAACUGGGAGGCUUGAGUACGGGAGAGGAGAGUGGAAUUCCUAGUGUAGGAGUGAAAUCCGUAGAUAUUAGGAGGAACACCGGUGGCGAAGGCGGCUCUCUGGACCGAUACUGACGCUGAGACGCGAAAGCGUGGGUAGCAAACACGAUUAGAUACCCUGGUAGUCCACGCCGUAACGAUGAGUACUAGUGUUGCGGGUAUUGACCCC
This 820-nucleotide ribosomal RNA is filed under the name uncultured Geobacter sp. Its description in RNAcentral is "bacterial SSU rRNA". It matches the Rfam family "Bacterial small subunit ribosomal RNA", at positions 36 to 839 of the family's 1533-position model. Lineage: Bacteria; Pseudomonadati; Thermodesulfobacteriota; Desulfuromonadia; Geobacterales; Geobacteraceae. The record is from RNAcentral.